UACGGAGGAUCCAAGCGUUAUCCGGAUUUAUUGGGUUUAAAGGGUGCGUAGGCGGCCUGUUAAGUCAGAGGUGAAAGACGGUAGCUCAACUAUCGCAGUGCCUUUGAUACUGACGGGCUUGAAUAAACUAGAGGUAGGCGGAAUGAGACAAGUAGCGGUGAAAUGCAUAGAUAUGUCUCAGAACACCGAUUGCGAAGGCAGCUUACUAUGGUUUUAUUGACGCUGAGGCACGAAAGCGUGGGGAUCAAACAGG
RNAcentral lists this ribosomal RNA (253 nucleotides) under uncultured bacterium. RNAcentral describes it as "partial 16S ribosomal RNA". It matches the Rfam family "Bacterial small subunit ribosomal RNA", at positions 524 to 776 of the family's 1533-position model. The record is from RNAcentral.